CCUACGGGAGGCAGCAGUGGGGAAUAUUGGUCAAUGGCCGGAAGGCUGAACCAGCCAUGCCGCGUGAAGGUCAGUGCCCUAUGGGCGUUAAACUUCUUUUGUGCGGGAGCAAUCAUGGUCCCGUGUGGCCAGACGAGAGUACCGUACGAAUAAGCAUCUGCUAACUCCGUGCCAGCAGCCGCGGUAAUACGGGGGAUGUACGCGUUUUCCGGAUUUAUGGGUUUAAAGGGUGCGUAGGCUGGGAGGUAAGUCAGCGGUGAAAUGCUCCCGCUCAACGGGGUGAAGUGCCAUUGAUACUGCCUUGCUGGAAUGCGAAUGCAGUGGGAGGAAUGUGUGGUGUAGCGGUGAAAUGCAUAGAUAUCACACAGAACACCGAUUGCGAAGGCAUCUCACGAAUCCGCGAUUGACGCUGAUGCACGAAAGCGUGGGUAUCAAACAGGAUUAGAUACCCUGGUAGUC
RNAcentral lists this ribosomal RNA (459 nucleotides) under uncultured bacterium. RNAcentral describes it as "partial 16S ribosomal RNA". It matches the Rfam family "Bacterial small subunit ribosomal RNA", at positions 338 to 795 of the family's 1533-position model. The record is from RNAcentral.